This 95-nucleotide ribosomal RNA is filed under the name Shewanella xiamenensis. Lineage: Bacteria; Pseudomonadati; Pseudomonadota; Gammaproteobacteria; Alteromonadales; Shewanellaceae. The record is from RNAcentral.
AUAGCAUUGUGGUCCCACCUGAUCCCAUCCCGAACUCAGAAGUGAAACGCAAUCGCGCCGAUGGUAGUGUGGGGUCUCCCCAUGUGAGAGUAGGU